UUAUACCGUGAAACUGCGAAUGGCUCAUUAAAUCAGUUAUCGUUUAUUUGAUAGUACCUUACUACUUGGAUAACCGUGGUAAUUCUAGAGCUAAUACAUGCCAAAAACCCCAACUUCGGGAGGGGUGUAUUUAUUAGAUAAAAAACCAAUGCCCUUCGGGGCUCUUUGGUGAUUCAUGAUAACUUAACGGAUCGCAUGGCCUUGCGCCGGCGACGGUUCAUUCAAAUUUCUGCCCUAUCAACUUUCGAUGGUAAGGUAUUGGCUUACCAUGGUUUCAACGGGUAACGGGGAAUUAGGGUUCGAUUCCGGAGAGGGAGCCUGAGAAACGGCUACCACAUCCAAGGAAGGCAGCAGGCGCGCAAAUUACCCAAUCCCGACACGGGGAGGUAGUGACAAUAAAUACUGAUACAGGGCUCUUUUGGGUCUUGUAAUCGGAAUGAGUACAAUUUAAACCUCUUAACGAGGAACAAUUGGAGGGCAAGUCUGGUGCCAGCAGCCGCGGUAAUUCCAGCUCCAAUAGCGUAUAUUAAAGUUGUUGCAGUUAAAAAGCUCGUAGUUGAAUCUUGGGCCUGGCUGGCCGGUCCGCCUCACCGCGUGUACUGGUCUGGCCGGGCCUUUCCUUCUGGAGAACCUCAUGCCCUUCAUUGGGUGUGGCGGGGAACCAGGACUUUUACUUUGAAAAAAUUAGAGUGUUCAAAGCAGGCCUUUGCUCGAAUACGUUAGCAUGGAAUAAUAGAAUAGGACGUGCGGUCCUAUUUUGUUGGUUUCUAGGACCGCCGUAAUGAUUAAUAGGGAUAGUCGGGGGCAUCAGUAUUCAAUUGUCAGAGGUGAAAUUCUUGGAUUUAUUGAAGACUAACUACUGCGAAAGCAUUUGCCAAGGAUGUUUUCAUUAAUCAGUGAACGAAAGUUAGGGGAUCGAAGACGAUCAGAUACCGUCGUAGUCUUAACCGUAAACUAUGCCGACUAGGGAUCGGGCG
RNAcentral lists this ribosomal RNA (977 nucleotides) under Neovaginatispora fuckelii. RNAcentral describes it as "SSU rRNA". It matches the Rfam family "Eukaryotic small subunit ribosomal RNA", at positions 74 to 1059 of the family's 1831-position model. The record is from RNAcentral. Lineage: Eukaryota; Fungi; Ascomycota; Dothideomycetes; Pleosporales; Lophiostomataceae.